UACACUCCUGCGGGAGGCAGCAGUGGGGAAUAUUGGACAAUGGGCGCAAGCCUGAUCCAGCCAUGCCGCGUGAGUGAUGAAGGCCCUAGGGUUGUAAAGCUCUUUCACCGGAGAAGAUAAUGACGGUAUCCGGAGAAGAAGCCCCGGCUAACUUCGUGCCAGCAGCCGCGGUAAUACGAAGGGGGCUAGCGUUGUUCGGAAUUACUGGGCGUAAAGCGCACGUAGGCGGAUCGAUCAGUCAGGGGUGAAAUCCCAGGGCUCAACCCUGGAACUGCCUUUGAUACUGUCGAUCUGGAGUAUGGAAGAGGUGAGUGGAAUUCCGAGUGUAGAGGUGAAAUUCGUAGAUAUUCGGAGGAACACCAGUGGCGAAGGCGGCUCACUGGUCCAUUACUGACGCUGAGGUGCGAAAGCGUGGGGAGCAAACAGGAUUAGAAACCCUAGUAGUCCCAUG
RNAcentral lists this ribosomal RNA (451 nucleotides) under uncultured organism. Its description in RNAcentral is "partial 16S ribosomal RNA". It matches the Rfam family "Bacterial small subunit ribosomal RNA", at positions 332 to 799 of the family's 1533-position model. The record is from RNAcentral.